AUGCGAUAAGUAAUGUGAAUUGCAGAAUUCCGUGAAUCAUCGAAUCUUUGAACGCACAUUGCGCCCGCUAGUAUUCUGGCGGGCAUGCCUGUUCGAGCGUCAUUUCAACCAUCAAGCCCCCGGCUUGUGUUGGGGACCUGCGGCUGCCGCAGGCCCUGAAAUCCAGUGGCGGGCUCGCCGUAGCACCGAGCGUAGUAGCAUACUUCUCGCUCCGGUAGCAGCGGUGGGCGCCUGCCGUAAAACCCCCCUUAAAAUCUCAAGGUUGACCUCGGAUCAGGUAGGAAUACCCGCUGAACUUAA
This 300-nucleotide unclassified non-coding RNA is filed under the name uncultured Sordariales. RNAcentral describes it as "partial contains 5.8S ribosomal RNA, internal transcribed spacer 2, and large subunit ribosomal RNA". The stretch from base 1 to 102 matches the Rfam family "5.8S ribosomal RNA", at positions 53 to 154 of the family's 154-position model. Lineage: Eukaryota; Fungi; Ascomycota; Sordariomycetes; Sordariales. The record is from RNAcentral.